Molecule: unclassified non-coding RNA, 333 nt
Filed under: soil metagenome
Description: partial contains 5.8S ribosomal RNA, internal transcribed spacer 2, and large subunit ribosomal RNA
Rfam family: 5.8S ribosomal RNA (bases 4-119)
Source: RNAcentral
GAUAAGAACGCAGCGAAAUGCGAUACGUAAUGUGAAUUGCAGAAUUCAGUGAAUCAUCGAAUCUUUGAACGCACAUUGCGCCUGCCAGCACUCUGGCAGGCAUGCCUGUUCGAGCGUCAUUUCAACCAUCAAGCCCUAGGCUUGCGUUGGAGCCCUGCGGCUGCCGCAGGCCCCUAAAAGCAGUGGCGGGCUCGCUAUCACACCGAGUGCAGUAGAUUACUCUUCGCUCAGGGCGUGUGGCGGGUUCCAGCCGUGAAACCCCCUACUUCUCAAGGUUGACCUCGGAUCAGGUAGGAAUACCCGCUGAACUUAAGCAUAUCAAUAAGCGGAGGA